GGGACGAACGCUGGCGGCGUGCCUAACACAUGCAAGUCGAACGGGACCAGGGGCAACUCUGGUUCAGUGGCGGACGGGUGCGUAACACGUGAGGAACAUGACCUUCGGCGGGGGAUAGCCGGCCCAACGGCCGGGUAAUACCGCGUACGACCACAUGGGGACAUCCCUGAGUGGUGAAAGCAGCAAUGCGCCGAUGGAGUGCCUCGCGGCCUAUCAGCUAGUUGGUGAGGUAACGGCUCACCAAGGCAACGACGGGUAGCUGGUCUGAGAGGAUGGCCAGCCACAUUGGGACUGAGACACGGCCCAGACUCCUACGGGAGGCAGCAGGUGGGGAACUAGUUGCGACAAGUGGAACGAAAGUCUAGACGCAGCGACGCGCGUGUGGGAUGACGGUCUUCGGAUUCGAAACCUACGUGGUCGGAAGGACG
This 428-nucleotide ribosomal RNA is filed under the name uncultured soil bacterium. RNAcentral describes it as "bacterial SSU rRNA". It matches the Rfam family "Bacterial small subunit ribosomal RNA", at positions 27 to 450 of the family's 1533-position model. The record is from RNAcentral.